Molecule: ribosomal RNA, 490 nt
Filed under: uncultured bacterium
Lineage: Bacteria
Description: partial 16S ribosomal RNA
Rfam family: Bacterial small subunit ribosomal RNA
Source: RNAcentral
AUUGAACGCUGGCGGCAGGCCUAACACAUGCAAGUCGAACGGUAACAGGAAGAAGCUUGCUUCUUUGCUGACGAGUGGCGGACGGGUGAGUAAUGUCUGGGAAACUGCCUGAUGGAGGGGGAUAACUACUGGAAACGGUAGCUAAUACCGCAUAACGUCGCAAGACCAAAGAGGGGGACCUUCGGGCCUCUUGCCAUCGGAUGUGCCCAGAUGGGAUUAGCUAGUAGGUGGGGUAACGGCUCACCUAGGCGACGAUCCCUAGCUGGUCUGAGAGGAUGACCAGCCACACUGGAACUGAGACACGGUCCAGACUCCUACGGGAGGCAGCAGCGGGGAAUAUUGCACAAUGGGCGCAAGCCUGAUGCAGCCAUGCCGCGUGUAUGAAGAAGGCCUUCGGGUUGUAAAGUACUUUCAGCGGGGAGGAAGGGAGUAAAGUUAAUACCUUUACUCAUUGACGUUACCCGCAGAAGAAGCACCGGCUAACUCCGUG